This is a non-coding RNA of Phthorimaea operculella (potato tuberworm), 76 nucleotides long. Lineage: Eukaryota; Metazoa; Arthropoda; Insecta; Lepidoptera; Gelechiidae. The record is from the annotation of a GenBank genome assembly.
GCGCCCGUAGCUCAGUUGGUAGAUAGAGCGGUGGGACGGUACCCCACGUUCCCGGGUUCAAGUCCAGGCGGUCGCU